GGCCGGAUAAGGCGUUCACGCCGCAUCCGGCAAUCAACGCCUGAUGCGACGCUCGCGCGUCUUAUCAGGCC
RNAcentral lists this non-coding RNA (71 nucleotides) under Escherichia coli. RNAcentral's name for it is "Nucleoid-associated noncoding RNA 4 (CssrE)". It matches the Rfam family "Nucleoid-associated noncoding RNA 4 (CssrE)". From Rfam's summary of the family: In E. coli small RNA transcribed from repeated extragenic palindromic element (REP325) called nucleoid-associated ncRNA 4 (nRNA4) collaborates HU protein in condensing the DNA. The secondary structure but not the sequence of the RNA is important in nucleoid condensation. Also identified in Shigella as CssrE. Lineage: Bacteria; Pseudomonadati; Pseudomonadota; Gammaproteobacteria; Enterobacterales; Enterobacteriaceae. The record is from RNAcentral. RNAcentral also lists the same sequence under 4 other names.